UUGGGCGUAAGGGCUCGUAGGUGGUUGAUCGCGUCGGAAGUGUAAUCUUGGGGCUUAACCCUGAGCGUGCUUUCGAUACGGGUUGACUUGAGGAAGGUAGGGGAGAAUGGAAUUCCUGGUGGAGCGGUGGAAUGCGCAGAUAUCAGGAGGAACACCAGUGGCGAAGGCGGUUCUCUGGGCCUUUCCUGACGCUGAGGAGCGAAAGCGUGGGGAGCGAACAGGCUUAGAUACCCUGGUAGUCCACGCUGUAAACGGUGGGUACUAGGUGUGGGGUCCAUUCCACGGGUUCCGUGCCGUAGCUAACGCUUUAAGUACCCCGCCUGGGGAGUACGGCCGCAAGGCUAAAACUCAAAGGAAUUGACGGGGCCCCGCACAAGCGGCGGAGCAUGCGGAUUAAUUCGAUGCAACGCGUAGAACCUUACCUGGGUUUGACAUGGAUCGGGAGUGCUCAGAGAUGGGUGUGCCUCUUUUGGGGUCGGUUCACAGGUGGUGCAUGGCUGUCGUCAGCUCGUGUCGUGAGAUGUUGGGUUAAGUCCCGCAACGAGCGCAACCCUUGUUCACUGUUGCCAGCACGUUAUGGUGGGGACUCAGUGGAGACCGCCGGGGUCAACUCGGAGGAAGGUGGGGAUGACGUCAAGUCAUCAUGCCCCUUAUGUCCAGGGCUUCACGCAUGCUACAAUGGCUGGUACAGAGAGUGGCGAGCCUGUGAGGGUGAGCGAAUCUCGGAAAGCCGGUCUCAGUUCGGAUUGGGGUCUGCAACUCGACCUCAUGAAGUCG
Molecule: ribosomal RNA, 777 nt
Filed under: uncultured Propionibacterium sp.
Lineage: Bacteria; Bacillati; Actinomycetota; Actinomycetes; Propionibacteriales; Propionibacteriaceae
Description: SSU rRNA
Rfam family: Bacterial small subunit ribosomal RNA
Source: RNAcentral